UAUGUGAUCGUCUCUCGCAUAUCAAUAAGCGGAGGAAAAGAAACUAACAAGGAUUCCCUUAGUAACGGCGAGUGAAGCGGGAAGAGCUCAAAUUUGAAAUCUUCAAGGUUUUACCUUGACUGAAUUGUAGUUUAAAGAAGUGUUUUCUGCUGAAGUUUUGGUAAAAGUUCUUUGGAAUAGGACAUCAUAGAGGGUGAGAAUCCCGUAUUUGACCAUUAUUUUCAGCUUUGUGAUACACUUUCAAAGAGUCGGAUUGUUUGGGAAUGCAGUCCAAAAUGGGUGGUAAAUUUCAUCUAAAGCUAAAUAUUGGCGAGAGACCGAUAGCGAACAAGUACCGUGAGGGAAAGAUGAAAAGAACUUUGAAAAGAGAGUUAAACAGUACGUGAAAUUGUCAAAAGGGAAGCGUUUGACACCAGUGUUGUUUUCUCGAAAAUCAAUUAAAAAUGGCUCGAUUUUGUAUUGCUGAGACCUUAAAAGCUCACUGUACAUUUUUCGUGUCUUUUUUAAUGCACUUUUCGUUUAACAAGUCAACAUCAGUUUCUUUUGUUGUAAAAGGGUCAUUGGAAGGUGGCUUUCUUUUCGGAGAAAGUGUUUAUAGCCUUUGGCCUCUGCAAUCGGAGAGACUGAGGUCUGCAGCGUAGACUCUUCGGGGUUAGAUACAUUUGUGCUAAGUUAUAGCUUUUUAUAGACAACUUGUUGACUAUAAUUAGUCUUGUAGCUUACUCGCUUAUGCUAUUUUACCUACGCUUAGGAUGUUGACGAUCAGCUGAGCGCG
Molecule: ribosomal RNA, 775 nt
Filed under: uncultured Neocallimastigales
Lineage: Eukaryota; Fungi; Neocallimastigomycota; Neocallimastigomycetes; Neocallimastigales
Description: partial large subunit ribosomal RNA
Rfam family: Eukaryotic large subunit ribosomal RNA
Source: RNAcentral